Molecule: ribosomal RNA, 573 nt
Filed under: Notropis atherinoides (emerald shiner)
Lineage: Eukaryota; Metazoa; Chordata; Actinopteri; Cypriniformes; Leuciscidae
Description: partial large subunit ribosomal RNA
Rfam family: Bacterial large subunit ribosomal RNA
Source: RNAcentral
CGCCUCCUGCAGCAUAAAGUAUAGGAGGUCCAGCCUGCCCAGUGACUACGGGUUCAACGGCCGCGGUAUAUUGACCGUGCAAAGGUAGCGCAAUCACUUGUCUUUUAAAUAGAGACCUGUAUGAAUGGCUAGACGAGGGCUUAACUGUCUCCCCCCUCCAGUCAGUGAAAUUGAUCUAUCCGUGCAGAAGCGGGUAUAGUACUACAAGACGAGAAGACCCUUUGGAGCUUAAGGUACAGAAUUCAGCCACGUUAAGCAACUCCAUAAACAGCAAGAACUUAGUGGUCAUGAAAUUUUACCUUCGGUUGGGGCGACCGCGGAGGAAAAGCAAGCCUCCGAGUGGACUGGGCCGAGACCCUAAAGCCAAGAGAAACAUCUUCAAGCCGCAGAACAUCUGACCAAUAAUGAUCCGGCUAAAAAGCCGAUCAACGGACCAAGUUACCCUAGGGAUAACAGCGCAAUCCUCUCCCAGAGCCCAUAUCGACGAGGGGGUUUACGACCUCGAUGUUGGAUCAGGACAUCCUGGUGGUGCAGCCGCUAUUAAGGGUUCGUUUGUUCAACGAUUAAAGUCCU